This 469-nucleotide ribosomal RNA is filed under the name uncultured bacterium. RNAcentral describes it as "SSU rRNA". It matches the Rfam family "Bacterial small subunit ribosomal RNA", at positions 26 to 518 of the family's 1533-position model. The record is from RNAcentral.
AGAACGAACGCUGGCGGCAGGCUUAACACAUGCAAGUCGAACGCUCGUAGCAAUACGGGAGUGGCAGACGGGUGAGUAACGCGUGGGAACAUGCCCUUUGGUUCGGAACAACUCCGGGAAACUGGAGCUAAAACCGGAUAAGCCCCUCGGGGGAAAGAUUUAUCGCCGAAGGAUUGGCCCGCGUCUGAUUAGCUAGUUGGUAGGGUAAUGGCCUACCAAGGCGACGAUCGGUAGCUGGUCUGAGAGGAUGACCAGCCUCACUGGGACUGAGACACGGCCCAGACUCCUACGGGAGGCAGCAGUGGGGAAUUGUUCGCAAUGGGCGCAAGCCUGACGACGCAACGCCGCGUGGAGGACGAAGAUCUUCGGGUCGUAAACUCCUGUCGAGUGGGAAGAAUGCUUCGGGGUGAAUACCCUUCGGAAUUGACGGUACACUAAGGAGCCCGGCUAACUCCGUGCCAGCAGCCGC